GGGUCAGUAGGUUGGUCGUGCCACCGGUACGUACUGGUCUCACUGAUUCCUCCUUCCUGAAGAACCGUAAUGCCAUUAAUUUGGUGUUGCGGGGAAACAGGACUGUUACUUUGAAAAAAUUAGAGUGUUUAAAGCAAGCUAACGCUUGAAUACAUUAGCAUGGAGUGAUGAAAUAGGACGAUCGAUCCUAUUUUGUUGGUUUCUAGGAUUGACGUA
RNAcentral lists this ribosomal RNA (216 nucleotides) under Glomeromycotina sp. RNAcentral's name for it is "partial small subunit ribosomal RNA". The stretch from base 40 to 216 matches the Rfam family "Eukaryotic small subunit ribosomal RNA", at positions 686 to 864 of the family's 1831-position model. The record is from RNAcentral. Lineage: Eukaryota; Fungi; Glomeromycota.